This 460-nucleotide ribosomal RNA is filed under the name uncultured bacterium. Its description in RNAcentral is "partial 16S ribosomal RNA". It matches the Rfam family "Bacterial small subunit ribosomal RNA", at positions 338 to 795 of the family's 1533-position model. The record is from RNAcentral.
CCUACGGGAGGCAGCAGUGAGGCAUAUUGGUCAAUGGACGAGAGUCUUAACCAGCCAAGUAGCGUGAAGGAUGACUGCCCUAUGGGUUGUAAACUUCUUUUAUAUGGGACUAAAAUGUUCCACGUGUGGGAUUUUGUAUGUACCAUAUGAAUAAGGAUCGGCUAACUCCGUUCCAGCAGCCGCGGUAAUACGGAGGAUCCGAGCGUUAUCCCGCGUUAUUGGGUUUAAAGGGAGCGUAGGUGGAUUGUUAAGUCAGUUGUGAAAGUUUGCGGCUCAACCGUAAAAUUGCAGUUGAAACUGGCAGUCUUGAGUACAGUAGAGGUGGGCGGAAUUCGUGGUGUAGCGGUGAAAUGCUUAGAUAUCACGAAGAACUCCGAUUGCGAAGGCAGUUCACUGGACUGCAACUGACACUGAGGCUCGAAAGUGUGGGUAUCAAACAGGAUUAGAUACCCCAGUAGUC